Molecule: ribosomal RNA, 254 nt
Filed under: uncultured bacterium
Lineage: Bacteria
Description: partial 16S ribosomal RNA
Rfam family: Bacterial small subunit ribosomal RNA
Source: RNAcentral
UACAGAGGUCUCAAGCGUUGUUCGGAUUCAUUGGGCGUAAAGGGUGCGUAGGCGGUUUGGUAAGUUGGAUGUGAAAUCUCCAGGCUCAACUUGGAGGGGUCAUUCGAUACUGCCAUGACUAGAGUUCGGUAGGGGAGUGUGGAAUUCCUGGUGGAGCGGUGAAAUGCGCAGAUAUCAGGAGGAACACCGGUGGCGAAGGCGGGUCUCUGGGCCGUAACUGACGCUGAGGAGCGAAAGCGUGGGGAGCGAACAGG